GGAGGAUUAACCCUAAUUGGUAAGGGAGCGGUCCUGAAAACCGCUAGUAACCGUGAACAACGGCGUAAGAGUUCGAGUCUCUUAUCCUCCGCCA
This 94-nucleotide transfer RNA is filed under the name Caudoviricetes sp. Its description in RNAcentral is "tRNA-Ser". It matches the Rfam family "tRNA". Rfam says of the family: Transfer RNA (tRNA) molecules are approximately 80 nucleotides in length. Their secondary structure includes four short double-helical elements and three loops (D, anti-codon, and T loops). Lineage: Duplodnaviria; Heunggongvirae; Uroviricota; Caudoviricetes. The record is from RNAcentral.